CGGGGCGUAGCGCAGCCUGGUAGCGCACUUGCAUGGGGUGCAAGGGGUCGAGAGUUCAAAUCCCUCCGUCCCGACCA
RNAcentral lists this transfer RNA (77 nucleotides) under Orrella daihaiensis. RNAcentral's name for it is "Orrella sp. f23 tRNA-Pro". It matches the Rfam family "tRNA". From Rfam's summary of the family: Transfer RNA (tRNA) molecules are approximately 80 nucleotides in length. Their secondary structure includes four short double-helical elements and three loops (D, anti-codon, and T loops). Further hydrogen bonds mediate the characteristic L-shaped molecular structure. tRNAs have two regions of fundamental functional importance: the anti-codon, which is responsible for specific mRNA codon recognition, and the 3' end, to which the tRNAs corresponding amino acid is attached (by aminoacyl-tRNA synthetases). tRNAs cope with the degeneracy of the genetic code in two manners: having more than one tRNA (with a specific anti-codon) for a particular amino acid; and 'wobble' base-pairing, i.e. permitting non-standard base-pairing at the 3rd anti-codon position. Lineage: Bacteria; Pseudomonadati; Pseudomonadota; Betaproteobacteria; Burkholderiales; Alcaligenaceae. The record is from RNAcentral.